CACGGUGGAGACCGCUGGCGCUAAGUCAGAGGAGGGGGUGGUCGACGGUGGGUCAGUAUGCCCCGAAUAUCCCGGGCUACACGCGGGCUACAAUGGACAGGACAAUGGGCAACUACACCGAAGGGUGGCGUCAAUCUCUUAAACCUGUCCUUAUUUCGGAUUGAGGGCUGUAACUCCCCCUCAUGAAGAUGGAAUCCGUAAUAAUCGCAUUUCAAAACAGUGCGGUGAAUACCUCCCUGCCCCUUGCAA
This 249-nucleotide ribosomal RNA is filed under the name uncultured archaeon. Its description in RNAcentral is "partial 16S ribosomal RNA". It matches the Rfam family "Archaeal small subunit ribosomal RNA", at positions 1094 to 1341 of the family's 1478-position model. The record is from RNAcentral.